UUCUACCAAGUUCCCAAAGUCUUUAACCACUUCCGAAUAUUUAUCGGGUGACGGGAGUACUCCCAUUCCAAUUAUAUUCGUCGGAAAGUCUCGUUUGGGUGUAGUAUCGCGUAUCAACUAAUUCAAGAGUACUCUCAAUUAGCCACCGCACUACGUCCUAAAAGGCCAAGAUGGGUUAAAGGUGACUAAAGGUCCUCAACUUCAAUGGUCACUUGAAAAUAGCAUGCCAAACAUGAGUACUCACGUUGACAACAUAUACUUCCAAGAUCCCUCCGUUGAGUGGGGUUCUCACAUGUGCCAAUACCGAAGAGUACUCUUGG
RNAcentral lists this long non-coding RNA (320 nucleotides) under Medicago truncatula (barrel medic). RNAcentral describes it as "long non-coding RNA (MTRU_LNC007373)". Lineage: Eukaryota; Viridiplantae; Streptophyta; Magnoliopsida; Fabales; Fabaceae. The record is from RNAcentral.